Molecule: non-coding RNA, 46 nt
Organism: Schistosoma rodhaini
Lineage: Eukaryota; Metazoa; Platyhelminthes; Trematoda; Strigeidida; Schistosomatidae
Source: Rfam
GUACAGCUGAGGAGUCUCAUAAUAGGACGAAACGGCCGUCCAGUGC